CACAUCUAAGGAAGUUGUGCAGUGUGUUAAAGUGAACGUUGUGCAACAAACAGAUUUCUUUCUUCUGGAAGAUCCAGACCCAACCGCAGUACAGAAAUACUCAGCUUGGCGUAAAUGGCCAGAAAAAUCAAACUUUUCUAACUUCAUGCUCACUCACUAUAUGUCUGAGUCAUUGCUGAAAUUAAUGGUUAAACCGGCGAGUCACGCCUCUUGUUCACAAUUUCAAGAUUAUAUCAGUCAGUAGGAGUAACGCAAGAAGGGCAAAUCAUUCUCACAGAUGGAGCUGCCACCUCGCCCACAACUGUUUGACUUCAAUGGAGUCUCCAUGACCAACGUCUUCACUGACAAUUGGGACAAUGUACAGAACUUCAAAGCAAGACCAGAUGAUAUUCUUAUCGCAACUUACCCUAAAGCAGGAACAACAUGGGUCUCUUACAUCCUAGAUCUUCUGUAUUUUGGGAACAUGAGUCCAGGCCGUCAGACAUCCAUCCCUGUUCAUGACAGAGUUCCCUUCCUGGAGAUCUGC
This is a non-coding RNA of Neolamprologus brichardi, 526 nucleotides long. The record is from RefSeq and is a predicted model, not a curated record. NCBI's taxonomy places the organism in Eukaryota, Metazoa, Chordata, Actinopteri, Cichliformes, Cichlidae.